UAAAGAGUUUUCUUUGGUAUUUUUAUAGGAUUUUAGCUUAUAUACAAAUUUUAGUGGGAUAUUUAAAAAAAUUUAAAGAAUUUAAUUAAGUAGAAGAAAGAAGAGUUGUAGUAAAAAAUAUUAAAAAUUUAAGGAAUUAAGAUUUAGUAAAUGAAAAUUAGUAUGAUUAAAAUUUGUGCCAGCAAUUGCGGUUACACAGAUUAUGCAGUAAAAGUAUUUCGAUUUUAGUUAUUUAUUUUAAUAGAAAAUAAAAAUAAGUUUAUUAGGUGAAAUUUUAAAUUUGUAUAUUUUUAGUAUAGUAGGAGAGGCUAGUAAAUUUUAUAAUAAACUAGGAUUAGAUACCCUAUUAUAAAAAUGUAAAUUUAAAGGUUAAAUUAGUAGUAGAUUUAUAUUCUUGAAAAUAAAUAAAGAUGGCGGUAUUUUAGUCUUUUCAGAGGAACCUGUUUUUAAAUUGAUAAUCCACGAUUAAAUCUACUUAUUUUUUUAGCUUGUAUAUCGCUGUAGGUUGAAUAUUUUUAUAAAAAUACAAUAUUCAAAAUUUAAUUUUAAAAGUAAAUCAAGUCAAGAUAUAGCUUAUAAAUAAGAUAAAAUGGGUUACAUUAGUUAAAUUUUUAGAUUAUUAGUUUUAAAUUAAUAUGAAAUUGGAUUUGAAAGUAAUUAUUUGUUUAUUCAAAUGAUGAUUUAAGCUCUAAAAUAUGUACAUAUCGCCCGUCGCUUUCACUUGAAAGUGAAAUAAGUCGUAACAUAGUAGAGGUACUGGAAAGUGUCUCUAGAGACUC
RNAcentral lists this non-coding RNA (779 nucleotides) under Curculionoidea sp. 1 KM-2017. Lineage: Eukaryota; Metazoa; Arthropoda; Insecta; Coleoptera. The record is from RNAcentral.